CAGCAGCCACGGUAAUACGAAGGGGGCUAGCGUUGUUCGGAAUUACUGGGCGUAAAGCGCGCGUAGGCGGAUAUUUAAGUCAGGGGUGAAAUCCCAAGGCUCAACCUUGGAACUGCCUUUGAUACUGGAUAUCUGGAGUUUGGGAGAGGUGAGUGGAAUUCCGAGUGUAGAGGUGAAAUUCGUAGAUAUUCGGAGGAACACCAGAAGCGAAGGCGGCUCACUGGCCCAAUACUGACGCUGAGGCGCGAAAGCGUGGGGAGCAAACAGGAUUAGAUACCCCCGUAGUCCCUGUCUCUUAUAC
This 301-nucleotide ribosomal RNA is filed under the name uncultured bacterium. RNAcentral's name for it is "partial 16S ribosomal RNA". It matches the Rfam family "Bacterial small subunit ribosomal RNA", at positions 509 to 807 of the family's 1533-position model. The record is from RNAcentral.